RNAcentral lists this ribosomal RNA (914 nucleotides) under Penicillium chrysogenum. RNAcentral's name for it is "LSU rRNA". It matches the Rfam family "Eukaryotic large subunit ribosomal RNA", at positions 38 to 964 of the family's 3401-position model. The record is from RNAcentral. Lineage: Eukaryota; Fungi; Ascomycota; Eurotiomycetes; Eurotiales; Aspergillaceae.
GCAUAUCAAUAAGCGGAGGAAAAGAAACCAACAGGGAUUGCCCCAGUUAACGGCGAGUGAAGCGGCAAGAGCUCAAAUUUGAAAGCUGGCUCCUUCGGGGUCCGCAUUGUAAUUUGUAGAGGAUGCUUCGGGAGCGGUCCCCAUCUAAGUGCCCUGGAACGGGACGUCAUAGAGGGUGAGAAUCCCGUAUGGGAUGGGGUGUCCGCGCCCGUGUGAAGCUCCUUCGACGAGUCGAGUUGUUUGGGAAUGCAGCUCUAAAUGGGUGGUAAAUUUCAUCUAAAGCUAAAUAUUGGCCGGAGACCGAUAGCGCACAAGUAGAGUGAUCGAAAGAUGAAAAGCACUUUGAAAAGAGAGUUAAAAAGCACGUGAAAUUGUUGAAAGGGAAGCGCUUGCGACCAGACUCGCUCGCGGGGUUCAGCCGGCAUUCGUGCCGGUGUACUUCCCCGCGGGCGGGCCAGCGUCGGUUUGGGCGGUCGGUCAAAGGCCCUCGGAAGGUAACGCCCCUAGGGGCGUCUUAUAGCCGAGGGUGCAAUGCGACCUGCCUAGACCGAGGAACGCGCUUCGGCUCGGACGCUGGCAUAAUGGUCGUAAACGACCCGUCUUGAAACACGGACCAAGGAGUCUAACAUCUACGCGAGUGUUCGGGUGUCAAACCCGUGCGCGAAGUGAAAGCGAACGGAGGUGGGAACCCUCACGGGUGCACCAUCGACCGAUCCUGAAGUCUUCGGAUGGAUUUGAGUAAGAGCGUAGCUGUUGGGACCCGAAAGAUGGUGAACUAUGCCUGAAUAGGGCGAAGCCAGAGGAAACUCUGGUGGAGGCUCGUAGCGGUUUCUGACGUGCAAAUCGAUACGUCGAAAUUUGGGGUAUAGGGGGCGAAAGACUAAUCGAACCAUCUGGUAGCUGGUUCCUGCCGA